RNAcentral lists this unclassified non-coding RNA (293 nucleotides) under uncultured fungus. RNAcentral's name for it is "sequence contains ITS1". The record is from RNAcentral. Lineage: Eukaryota; Fungi.
CGGACUACCCGGGUAUCUAAUCCUGUUUGAUCCCCACGCUUUCGUCCCUGAGCGUCAAUCCAGGCCUAGUGAGCUGCCUUCGCUAUCGGUGUUCUGUGUAGUAUCUAUGCAUUUCACCGCUACACUACACAUUCCGCCCACUUCGACCGAAUUCAAGACGUACAGUAUCAAUGGCAGUUCUGCAGUUAAGCUGCAGGAUUUCACCACUGACUUAUACGCCCGCCUGCGGACCCUUUAAACCCAAUGAUUCCGGAUAACGCUUGCACCCUCCGUAUUACCGCGGCGGCUGGCAC